This 503-nucleotide ribosomal RNA is filed under the name uncultured bacterium. RNAcentral's name for it is "partial 16S ribosomal RNA". It matches the Rfam family "Bacterial small subunit ribosomal RNA", at positions 30 to 523 of the family's 1533-position model. The record is from RNAcentral.
AUUGAACGCUGGCGGCAGGCUUAACACAUGCAAGUCGAGCGGGGUGAUGGUGCUUGCACUAUCACUUAGCGGCGGACGGGUGAGUAAUGCUUAGGAAUCUGCCUAUUAGUGGGGGACAACAUCUCGAAAGGGAUGCUAAUACCGCAUACGUCCUACGGGAGAAAGCAGGGGAUCACUUGUGACCUUGCGCUAAUAGAUGAGCCUAAGUCGGAUUAGCUAGUUGGUGGGGUAAAGGCCUACCAAGGCGACGAUCUGUAGCGGGUCUGAGAGGAUGAUCCGCCACACUGGGACGGAGACACGGCCCAGACUCCUACGGGAGGCAGCAGUGGGGAAUAUUGGACAAUGGGGGGAACCCUGAUCCAGCCAUGCCGCGUGUGUGAAGAAGGCCUUAUGGCUGUAAAGCACUUUAAGCGAGGAGGAGGCUCUUUUGGUUAAUACCCAGAAUGAGUGGACGUUACUCGCAGAAUAAGCACCGGCUAACUCUGUGCCAGCCGCCGCCGUAA